This is a long non-coding RNA of Epinephelus moara (kelp grouper), 448 nucleotides long. RefSeq lists it as uncharacterized. NCBI's taxonomy places the organism in Eukaryota, Metazoa, Chordata, Actinopteri, Perciformes, Serranidae. The record is from RefSeq and is a predicted model, not a curated record. The transcript is spliced from 3 exons.
GUCCAGGGCAGUUAGCAUGUAAACACCGUUCAUUUUGAUAUUCAGUAAUUACACACAGUGUCAGUUAACGUAUUGUUCACAUGGUUUGAGGAUUCAUUAAAAGUUGCAGCAGACAGAAAGGACCAGGAAACUGUCCGUUUGGCCCUGUGAGGAGUACAUGUCUACUUUUUCUGAACUGCUGUCGCCAGCCACAGCAUGGUUUGGGAUUGUGUUCAGCCUGAAGUCCACUCACAGCCUCUUCAACACUAGUCCUCGCCCAUUCUUCAUCUUUCCAUCGGCCUGCUUCAGGUGACAUCCCAUGAAUUUGCGCUGUGUGGCUCGUCAUGGAGGGGCUGCUACCUAUGAUGCGGAAACACAAAUGGCGCUGGUUGGUUGGUUUAUCCAUUUUGGGCUGCUGCAGGAACAUGACGGUGCAACAUGGUGGACUCUGUUGAUGAGGACCUACUCC